This 514-nucleotide ribosomal RNA is filed under the name uncultured bacterium. Its description in RNAcentral is "bacterial SSU rRNA". It matches the Rfam family "Bacterial small subunit ribosomal RNA", at positions 8 to 518 of the family's 1533-position model. The record is from RNAcentral.
AGAGUUGAUCAUGGCUCAGGACGAACGCUGGCGGCGUGCUUAACACAUGCAAGUCGAGCGGGGAUAUAUCAGAUGAGAGCUUCGGCAGGAUUCAGAUAUAUCCAGCGGCGGACGGGUGAGUAACGCGUGAGCAAUCUGUCCCAGACAGGGGGAUAACACUUGGAAACAGGUGCUAAUACCGCAUAAGACCACGAGGUCACAUGGCCUUGAGGUAAAAGGAGCAAUCCGGUUUGGGGUGAGCUCGCGUCCGAUUAGCUAGUUGGCGAGGUAACGGCCCACCAAGGUGACGAUCGGUAGCCGACCUGAGAGGGUGAUCGGCCACAUUGGAACUGAGACACGGUCCAAACUCCUACGGGAGGCAGCAGUGGGGAAUAUUGGGCAAUGGGCGAAAGCCUGACCCAGCAACGCCGCGUGAGGGAAGAAGGUUUUCGGAUUGUAAACCUCUGUCCUCAGGGACGAAGGAAGUGACGGUACCUGAGGAGGAAGCCCCGGCUAACUACGUGCCAGCCGCCGC